GGCACUGUGGCGGAGUGGUUAACGCGUUGGACUUGAAUCCCCCUACGAGAUCCAAUCUCUUCGGAGGCGCAGGUUCGAAUCCUGCCGGUGUCG
Molecule: transfer RNA, 93 nt
Rfam family: tRNA
About the family: Transfer RNA (tRNA) molecules are approximately 80 nucleotides in length. Their secondary structure includes four short double-helical elements and three loops (D, anti-codon, and T loops).
Source: Rfam